CCUUACGUAUAGAUUCUCUUGAUGAGUGUCCACACAGAUUGAUUAGGUUUAAGUAAGUUUAAGAGACGAUAUUGGGUCUGUAGCUCAGGUGGUUAGAGCGUUCGCCUGAUAAGCGAGAGGUCGGUGGUUCAAGUCCACUCAGACCCACCAAUUUUUCCUUGUGAAGAUUGAACAGUAUCGACACCUGAUGGGGUUAUAGCUCAGCUGGGAGAGCGCCUGCCUUGCACGCAGGAGGUCUGCGGUUCGAUCCCGCAUAGCUCCACCAUCUUUAAGCGCAUUCGAUGAGUGCUUUUAAAAAUGGUUUUCGUUAGAAAAUCUUGCUCUUUAACAAUUUGGAAAGCUGACAGUUAAUAAUUUGAUUAAUUAUUAACUAUUAAAAGUUCUCAAAUACUAAUCUUUUGAUUAGGUACCAAUACACAUUCAAGUGUUCUUGGGAAUCUUACUUUAUAAGUAAGUAUUCAUAUUUGAGUCCGGCAAAAUCGAAAUGUCUCUCGCUCAUUCAAAUAAUGAGAGACAACUAAACCUUGGGUGUUUGCCAUACAUAAAGACCUCCUGGGGUUGUAU
RNAcentral lists this unclassified non-coding RNA (564 nucleotides) under Vibrio diazotrophicus. Its description in RNAcentral is "partial 16S-23S ribosomal RNA intergenic spacer". The stretch from base 74 to 147 matches the Rfam family "tRNA". Lineage: Bacteria; Pseudomonadati; Pseudomonadota; Gammaproteobacteria; Vibrionales; Vibrionaceae. The record is from RNAcentral.